Molecule: long non-coding RNA, 1866 nt
Organism: Lagenorhynchus albirostris (white-beaked dolphin)
Lineage: Eukaryota; Metazoa; Chordata; Mammalia; Artiodactyla; Delphinidae
Exons: 3
Source: RefSeq, a predicted model, not a curated record
UCAUUCUCUUUCCUUCGCAGCGCGUGCGGCUGGUGUCAGAGGUUUCUGCUCUUUUCCGUUUGGUAGAGGCCUGUGGCAACGAUGUGAAUUUAACCCGCUCAACGCAGGCAGCCCAGGGCUCGCUCUGCAGGGGCUUCACCCAAAUGAAGUUUCCUUUUCUGUUGCUGACCCUCAAAAAGAUAUUUGGCUUAUAGUGGAUGCUGAUGAAUGAACAGACGGCAGCAGUCAGGCAGUCCUGAGAACCAUAAGGGUUUUCUGAGGAAGGAGGCAUAAUAUUGCAAGCUUGAUUUCAUCCUCCAUUCUGAUCAUUUGAUGUCCCACUGUCUGGCAGCUGAUUUGUUUAGUGACCCAUUGACCUGAAAUACACAAAAGUGGCUGACCAGUGAAUUCCAGGGUAUCUAAGAAACCCAAAGUAGAUGUGAUGGACCCAGGAGACAUGCUACGGAGGCAAGAAUCCUCUUAGACGUUAUUUACCACCUAAUCGGUUGUUGUAUUAAUUAUGGCUGUAAAGCUUCAGGCCACCAGAAUACACAUUUUUUCCUCACUCGCAUACAUAACCCCUCACAUCAGCAUUGGUGCACUAGACUCUGUAAAAAUUUUUCAGUCACACUUUGUUUUUAAACUUGAGUCAAUAUAAACCUUGUUCAAAAUGUUAUGAAAAAAUGUACAUGUUUAUACAAGGCAGGUUGUGACAGGACACUGGGGUUCUUUCCCCGUGGGCGGCCCCAGGAGGAGGGGGCUGGAGUCUCACACAUUUGUGUCUCUAUCUCCUCCCACCACCCUUCCCACCCAAUCCCCCAGGAACCAGCAGCGCCCUGCCCCCCCUAGUGAGUGCACUCACACCCCUAUUCCCUGGGGAAGAAGCUAGUUGACCUUUGCCAUUUUCCCCACACCCCUGGAGGAGGGGGCCAGGAUCAGCCAGGCCCUCUCCACUGUAAUUGUUCGCCCCUCUGGGCCAGACCAAAGGGACGCUGCUCUGUACAGGUAGAGUCCAAGGAGGUGUCAGCUCAUCAUAUCAUUGCUGUUCACGCCGUAAGUGGAAUUCUUCAUCGAGUCGUUGACUUCUCGACGGAAUGCUGACAGAUUCUGGGUGAACCUACAGAGAGGAUGCAUGUAGGUUGGGGGAGCAGGGUGGAAGGGAAAGAUCUUUGCCUAAAAUGUUUCUAGCAGACAAGUGCCUACUGAGAGGCAGAACGUAUGAAUCGGUUGUUUCUAAGGUCAGUUAAUCUCAGUCUUAAGACUUUAAGGGAAAGUUUGGGCUAGUUUUGCACCCCUUUCUACCUGACAACUUCAUGGCAGGCCUCGAGAUCUGGUCAAAUCUGGGGCUCUGAGGAUCACCUUGGGUUCAUGGCAGCACAAAAGGAAUCUCACUGACAGAGACGGGAAGUAACCCUCACAAAGUGAGAGCUGGGAGAGGAUGAAGCUGUCUCAUUUCUUAAUGCCAAGAGACCUGUGCUGUCCAGUAUGGCAGCCAUUAGCCACACGUGGCUGUAGACCACCUGAACUGUGCUCAGUGCAACUGAGGAACUGAAUCCAAUUAAAAGAAAUUUAAAAUUCAGUUCCCCAAUCGCACCUUAAUUAAAAUGCCAUUUUUAAAUUAAUUAAAAUUAAAGAAAAUUUAAAAAUCAAUUUAGAAAAACCUGACGUUCAAUUCAGUUAUUGGACAACUUCUAAGUAUGUUUGGAACAACUUGAGUAUGGGAAUCUAAUUGCAACUGUAAGUUUUAUGAAAUCUAAAUACAAAUCAAGUAUUUCCGAUGAAAAUGUAGCAUAUGGGGCUUCCCUGGUGGUGCAGUGGUUGAGAGUCCGCCUGCCGAUGCAGGGGACACGGGUUCGUGCCCCGGUCCGGGAGGAUCCCACAUGCCGC